GACGAACGCUGGCGGCGUGCCUAAUACAUGCAAGUCGAGCGAAGUUUUUCUGGUGCUUGCACCGGAAAAACUUAGCGGCGAACGGGUGAGUAACACGUAAAGAACCUGCCUCAUAGACUGGGACAACUAUUGGAAACGAUAGCUAAUACCGGAUAAUAGCAUUAACUGCAUGGUUGAUGUUUAAAAGUUGGUUUUGCUAACACUAUGAGAUGGCUUUGCGGUGCAUUAGCUAGUUGGUGGGGUAAAGGCCUACCAAGGCGACGAUGCAUAGCCGACCUGAGAGGGUGAUAGGCCACACUGGGACUGGGACACGGCCCAGACUCCUACGGGAGGCAGCAGUAGGGAAUCUUCCGCAAAGGGCGAAAGCCUGACGGAGCAACGCCGCGUGAGUGAAGAAGGAUUUCGGUUCGUAAAGCUCUGUUGUUAGGGAAGAAUGAUUGUGUAGUAACUAUACACAGUAGAGACGGUACCUAACCAGAAAGCCACGGCUAACUACGUG
RNAcentral lists this ribosomal RNA (499 nucleotides) under uncultured bacterium. RNAcentral's name for it is "partial 16S ribosomal RNA". It matches the Rfam family "Bacterial small subunit ribosomal RNA", at positions 28 to 507 of the family's 1533-position model. The record is from RNAcentral.